This 445-nucleotide ribosomal RNA is filed under the name uncultured bacterium. Its description in RNAcentral is "bacterial SSU rRNA". It matches the Rfam family "Bacterial small subunit ribosomal RNA", at positions 355 to 796 of the family's 1533-position model. The record is from RNAcentral.
UAGGGAAUAUUGGGCAAUGGAGGCAACUCUGACCCAGCCAUGCCGCGUGAAGGAUGAAUGUCCUACGGAUUGUAAACUUCUUUUAUAAGGGAAGAAAAACCCCGAUUUAUUCGGGGCCUGACGGUACCUUAUGAAUAAGCACCGGCUAACUCCGUGCCAGCAGCCGCGGUAAUACGGAGGGUGCAAGCGUUAUCCGGAUUCACUGGGUUUAAAGGGUGCGUAGGUGGGUCGGUAAGUCAGUGGUGAAAGCCCCGAGCUCAACUUGGGAACUGCCAUUGAUACUGCCGGUCUUGAGUAUGGUUGAGGUGGGCGGAAUGUUGCAUGUAGCGGUGAAAUGCUUAGAUAUGCAACAGAACACCGAUUGCGAAGGCAGCUCACCAAGCCAUUACUGACACUGAGGCACGAAAGCGUGGGGAUCAAACAGGAUUAGAUACCCCCGUAGUCC